CAUACAUUCUGGGAGAAUGGCACAUCAAAGCCGACAGAUGUUAUGUGGGUCCAAGAGAUAUUUACCCACCUUUUAGCUUUUACAUCUAGAAUAUAUUUUUAAUUAGAUUUUCCACCUUUACAGCAGGAAUAUCACCCAAAGAUUGAAAUAAUUUCUGAAAUGACAUAUGACAGUGAUUCAGCAUUAGAGGAAAACAAUAAAAGGAUGUUUGAGAAUUCAGAAGGAGAUGUUCCAACAGCAGUCUUUUCAAAUGCAUGUAAGAUACAUAAACAGCAUGGAAAGGAGCACUUAAGACCCCUUGUUGAAAGCUUCUUUACACAGCCUCCUAAUUCCAAAAGAUACCAGGAGAUCAAAGGUCAACAAACAACCCCCUCGAGACCCUUGAUACAAGAGAUUAACACUGAGCCUGAGGAUAAUCUACUCUUGUCACCAGUCUAUAAGCAACCAGAUAACCCAAGCCCAACAGAGGAGGAUGGGAAUGGCAGCAAUGGAGAAGCACAGUACCCAGCUGAGAGUGGAGGAUGUCCUCAUGAGGCAUGGGACGACAAGGAUGGUGAGAGUGGUUUAGAUUAAUCACUUUGCAAAAAUACUCCAAGUAUUCAGGGCAGCUGGCAGCAUUCGAUCCUUUGUAAGUGAUUGCACUAUUGUGUUGCAGUUAUAGUAAUUUCUCUGCUGUCAUUUUUCCCUUGCAUCCUAGGAAUUACUUGGUUGAAUGUUUAUGUCUUAAGGUUUCGUUACAUAUGUACUUUCAGUGCAUACGGUAACAUGUUUCUCUCACUUGAACUAAAUAAAGAUUUUACUUGUAACCACAUAUAUUUUAACUUGUAUAAUCUCAUAUUUCAUACCAGAUGAACCUUGAUGACAAAUGGAGAUUGCCUCUCAACAUGGUCUUUUAUGGAUCUAACAUUUAUAGACAUCAUUGUUUAUACAAAACCAGAUGCAGAACUAGCAUCCAUGCAUGAACAUCUGGUUUUACGUGUUCAGGCGAUCUGCGAUGGAGCAUAUGCUUAUAUCUGCCAUUUUCAUCAUUUUUCAUUGUGUGAUGUGUGUCAGGAUCUGAAUUUCAAAUAUAACAGAAGAAUAACCAGCUUGAUAGUCAUGGCAGAAAGGCAGCUUUGGCGUAAAAAACCAAUCAAAGGAAUUCUUCUUCCAUUUGUUUCUCUCUUAUACCACAGUCAUAGUCUUGUGCCAAAGUGAAAUGUAAGAUAAUAGCAGAGAUGCCUCAGUCAGGUUCUCUC
RNAcentral lists this long non-coding RNA (1238 nucleotides) under Amazona collaria (yellow-billed parrot). RNAcentral's name for it is "lncRNA (ENSACOG00000008372.1)". The record is from RNAcentral. Lineage: Eukaryota; Metazoa; Chordata; Aves; Psittaciformes; Psittacidae.